RNAcentral lists this ribosomal RNA (774 nucleotides) under uncultured Neocallimastigales. Its description in RNAcentral is "partial large subunit ribosomal RNA". It matches the Rfam family "Eukaryotic large subunit ribosomal RNA", at positions 23 to 643 of the family's 3401-position model. Lineage: Eukaryota; Fungi; Neocallimastigomycota; Neocallimastigomycetes; Neocallimastigales. The record is from RNAcentral.
AGAGAUGUGUGAUGACGCAUAUCAAUAAGCGGAGGAAAAGAAACUAACAAGGAUUCCCUUAGUAACGGCGAGUGAAGCGGGAAGAGCUCAAGUUUGAAAUCUUCAAGGUUCUACCUUGACGAAUUGUAGUUUAUAGAAGUGUUUUCUGUUAGUGGAGUGGCAAAAGUUCUUUGGAAUAGGACAUCAUAGAGGGUGAGAAUCCCGUAUUUGGUCAUUCCUCCUAGCGUUGUGAUACACUUUCAACGAGUCGGAUUGUUUGGGAAUGCAGUCCAAAAUGGGUGGUAAAUUUCAUCUAAAGCUAAAUAUUGGCGAGAGACCGAUAGCGAACAAGUACCGUGAGGGAAAGAUGAAAAGAACUUUGAAAAGAGAGUUAAACAGUACGUGAAAUUGUCAAAAGGGAAGCGUUUGACACCAGUGUUGUUUUUCCGAAAAUCUAUUACGAAUGUUUUGUUUUUGAGGAGUUAUGACUUCAUCGGCUUGCUCCUUUCUUUACGAAACUUUCUUAAUGCACUUUUCGGUUAACAAGUCAACAUCAAUUUCUUUUGUUGUAAAAGGGUAUGAGGAAGGUGGCUUUCUUUUCGGAGAAAGUGUUUAUAGCCUUGUGCCUCUGCAAUCGGAGAGAUUGAGGUCUGCAGCGUAGAUCCUUCGGGGUUAGAUACAGUUUGUGCUAAGUUAUAGCUUUUCAUAGACAACCUGUUGACUAUGUUAGUCUUGUAGCUUACUCGCUUAUGCUAUUUUACCUACGCUUAGGAUGUUGAAGAUGUAGCACAUCAU